CCCAUCUCCAUGCCCCGUGGCAGCAGCCCUGUGAACAUCCCCAGGCUGUGCCGGGCUCUGAUGUCAUUCCCUUUGUGCUCCGGAUGCACACAGGAGGCUGCUGGCACCCCCAGCCCGGCUGCAAUUACACGAGCUUUGAAUUUUUUCCUCUAAAAAGUAGAAAAUGGAGAUUUUUUUUCACUAUCAUCUUUGGCUGAAAAAACAGAGCUUUGUCAGUGGGCUUUUGGGGGGGGGGGCUUGACCAGUUUUAGGGUGCAACGAGGCGCAGGGCAGGCAUGAGGGGAUGAGGGAACACCCCCAGCACAGCCUCCCCACAGCCCAAACAUCACAGCUGUGGGCUCCGGCUCCAUCGGCCUCCCAUGUUGCCAUGGCAACUGCUGCAUCCCAGCCUUGGAGAACGUCGGCACGGACGGGAGAUGCUGCAGGAUGGGAUGGGAUGGGAGGUGUGACGGGGAUGGGAUGGGAGGUAUGGGAGAUGCUAUGGGGACGCACUGUGAGCUGUUAUGGGGUCAGGAUGGAGAUGCUGCAGGGAUGGGAUGGGAUGGGAGAUGCCAGCUGCCUGCACUGCAGCACGGGGGGAAGCCGAGCUCCUCACUGAGCUGCUGCUCCUGCAUAAAGGCCUCAUCUGAAAGACUAAUCGGGGCUUUAAUAAACAGUGAAUGAGGCGCCGGUGGGCCCGGCUCAUACGCCAUCUCUAACACCCCCGGGGGCUUACAGACAUCCAGAACACAGCUAGAGCAUGCCUCAGGGGGAUGUUAAUUGUUUGCAGCCCUGGAGGCACCGCGCUGGAAAGAAACUUUGGCACAAAAGCUCCCAGGUGAGGUGGGAGGGCUGCACAGCCCCUCUGCUCAGCUUCCAAGUGCCACCCCCAGCCCUGCACGGCCGCAGGCAUUUGGGUCACUCCCUUACCCCACUCCUCACCGCCCAGCAGGCAGACAGGGAUGGAUGGACAGAUGGACGGGCAGACAGACAGACAGACGGAUAGGUGGAGCUCCAAUCAGGGAGAAGGGAAUGGAGCAGGGAUGGAUGCUGCCUGGGACAGAGCAGGCACUUCAGCCCCAAACACCUCCGGGUAUGGGUGCUCACAUACACACACAUCUCAGGUCUCUCUCCUGGGGCUGCACCUCCUCACGCAGAGCUUCUCCCUGUGCCCAUCAGCACUCCUCUCACUGAAGCAUCCAUCACCUCAUCCUCCAGCUUGCACCUGCCCGGCUGCCCUGCUCCCAGCGCUGGGUAACAGUAAGCUGUGUCCCUGCAUUCCCUCCCUUCAGCUCCUCCAGGUCAGAGAGGUGCAGCUCCUGCAGCCGUGUAGGACUGGCCUGGCUGUGCCACCACCCGAGGAGUCUUUCUGAGGGCACAGCAGUGCCAUGCUGGGCACGAGGCAGGGAUGGGAGAGAUGAGGCCAGGUUGGGUCCGUGUGCUGAGCAGCCCGAGCAGCUCCGGGCUGUGCCUCACAUCCAAAUAGGCUUCAACAUUGCGAGGUGUUGGUUGAUGGGCUCUGGAGGAUGAGCACCGCUGCACGGCGAGGAUGGAGGAAGGAUGGAGGAAGGCUGCCAACCCAGUGAAGUCUCUCAGGAAGCAAACAAUCUAGGGGGUUUUGUACUCCAUUCCUUGCUUUCAUAAGCUAAAUGGAUUGUUUGCAAGUAGGAGCCAGCUGCAAAGCUGGCAAUCUCCGAUCGGAUCUGCCUUUCUCCUCAUUCCAGCCAUCCUUAAUUCGCUGCUCAGUUCCAAGGAGAGGAUCCUGGUGGCCCCCAGGCAGUCUGCAGGAAGGACGGCUGAGCUGCGGCUGUUUGUGGCACUGGGCAGCAGGAUUGGGCCCUGCAGCACUCCAGAGAGCAGUGGGGUGCUCAGGAAUGGCUGCUGAGCUCAUUAUGGGAUGCCAGCAUUUUGGAAGUGCCGGAAGAUGAUGUUUUCCCUGCUCCGUGCACGGAGGGCUGGUUCAUCGUGCCAAGACUAAUUAGCUGGGCACUAAAAUAAGGACUGAGGAUGCUCCCGAAGCACCUGGCGCUGCCCCAUUUCUGUGGUGGAGCCCAGGGCAGUUUCACCACUGGGAAACUGAGGCACAGCUCCCACCCACUGCGUUUGCAGACAGGGGUUCAACUCAGCAUCCUUUUAAUUCUCAUUUGUUUCCAAGCUGUAUGUGGCUCGCAGGCACGACAGAAGCGCGCUGGAGUGCAGCAAGAUGACCUACUUACUGAGCUGCAGGAGCAGCACAGGCCUUGGGUCACGCCGGCUCCUGGGACCCCGAGGGACAGGGACAGCUGGCACGUGGACCCCAGGACUUCUCUCCAGGGGAUGCACGGCCCCAGCAGGCAGCCUGGACAGCUGGGUGGGCACAUGGCUGGCAGCAGGGCCAGGGAGCAGGGACAUGUGAACGCUGGGCUGUCCAGCUUCCAGCCUCUUCCAAUGGUCCUGCCCGGUACGCUCAGCUCCCAGGGGAUCCAACCUCCCUCCUUCUAUCUCCGUGCUAUUUACUGGGGUUCUGUCUUCAGUUCAAAGGUCAUGGCAACAUCAGAACGUGGAGUCUCCAUAUGCUCAAGAGUGAGAUAGCAGAGAACCUCUGCCCCCUGUGUUUACCUCCUGGUUUUUAACCCGAUCCGAUGAUUCCUCCAUGAACACGAGCAGAUCAUGAAUGCACUCCCUUAGAAAUCACGGUACAGUUCAGGAGGAUUUGUUCCUGGGCACUGAUCCUUCACCACUCUCAUUCAUCUAACAGGAUGCUUCAGAAUUUAUUAUAAUGACAAACAAGUGCUGGUGCUCCUGGAGGCCGGGAGCGGCUUUGUGCCCACCUGCACAGAUACCCCCUGCAAUGGCACUGGCCCACGGGCUACCUGAGGGCUGUGACCAGCAGCUAGCAGCUCUGGGAUUCAAUGUGGCAGGUGCUGUCAGACGUCAGGGAGUCAAAAAGACAACAGAGCAGCUCUUCAGCCUGGGGAGAUGAGAAGGAAAAGAAGGAAGGGCUGUGAAUUUUGUGCGUUGCAAAGAAACUCCCUGCAGGUCCCUUCCCACCCAAUCUAUGGGUUCUGCUACCUCCUCUCCUCUGCCCCUCUAAUGCUGGUAGGUCCCACCCCACGGCCCCAUCCCGAGCUGCACGCAGGGAGAAGCUCUGCUCAGGUACAGCUGCCAACACUCAAACAGUCUCCACCUGGAAAUCUGAAUUCUCACCCUAUUUCCUAUUCCCAGACUGCACGGGGAGUCGGAUGAAGUCCCUUUUCUCUCCCAUGAUAUGAUUCCAUCAGUGAACACCAUUCAAAGCGUGAGGAUUUGCAAUCCGUGUUCACUUAACCCUCUGAACUUUGCCUGAUAUCAUGGUGUUGCUCAUUAGCUGUAACCUGGAAAGCCUGGCUGACAUUUCAUAAACUCAUUAGCAAGAGAUCAGAGGAUCAAACACAGUUUCCAGGGACAUCUUUUGAGGUACAGCCAUUCCCCGGUGCGCAGCUCUGGCUCUGUGACUUCCAAACCCACUGUGGACCUGGGAGCAAAAGGGCCCUUUGAAGAGAACCACGGCUCACUGCUGUGCUUCCUGCAGCCCCAGGGAGAAGCCCUGCAGCCCACAUUGCCCCAGGACACGGCUCAGUCUGAGCUCUGCCCCGCUGCCAUCCGGGCUGCUCCUCCAGAGGCACACAACCCAACUGAAAUUUUCUUUUAAAAUCCAACCCAUCUGGACAAGCUUCAUUCACCACGAGGACACAAAAGGUCCAUCUAUUCCAUAACCAUCUCUCUACUUGCCUGUUUCUCAUUCUGGGGAUAGAGGAGAUGCUGUGCCAUGUCCAGCACCGACUGCUUCUGCCAACGCACGCUGAGGGUAAAGACAAAGGGAAGGCAGAGUUAUUUUGCCAUCUAAGCUGUUAAAACUGCUGAUGACCCAGCUUUGGGCAGGGCUACGCUCAGUGCCAGCAGCUCUGGCCGUGUGCAUCUGUUACUGAACUUCUUUACACAGCUAAAUCCUGGGUUUUACAAAGCUUUGUAUAAAUGGAUUUGGAUUCUUAAAAUAUAAGCCUCCAAACAAACAGUAACGACCCAUUGCAUAAUGGGGUCUGUGGGGCAGUGGGAAUACACACACAUCCAGGUAUGCCAGGCCUGUGCAAGGGCCUUUUUCUCACCAAAGACCACCGCUGUGUUUUCCCAUGCACAGAGGGCUUCCCGUGCUGCCCCUCACAGCAGGGCAGGCUGCACUGCUCACGCUGCGCUUUGGUCCCUGUCGAAUCACAUGAGUUGACCACCAGAUAUAUUUGAGGCAUCUCAAGGCAAGACACGAAGCUCACAAUUGCUUUCUUAGCCAACCCCAUGCACAGGCAGAGCCUUCAGCCUCUGGAAGAGCUCCCAGCUCCCUGCCCCCACACCCAGCUACUGCACUUGGCAACAGUUUUCCCUCCAGUGGUUUCCAUCAGCCCCAGGAUUUCACAUCCCGCACGUUCCUCCUUUGAUUUCUAAACCUCCUUUCCCUCCAAAGCCUCCCAGAGAUGAGCCUCCUAUAGGGAUAACAUCGCUCCCUGCUAACAGCAAUUAACACUUGGUAAGAACGUCUUGUCAGACAGCACAACAUCCAGCUAAGUUCCUCAGCACUUGGAGCUCACUGUGAUCGCCUGCACUCUGAUUUUCCUCCCCUGCAGCCAGGAUUUGGGUGUGCUUCAGCCCAGCAUCGCUGAUGGAGCUCAGCACAACGCGAACCAGCUGAGUUCCUAGGGACCCUACACAACACAGGUGGGUCCCAGCAACCUUACCAGCACCUGGAAGUGCUUUAUGAGAGCUCAGAUAACCACAGAGGAGUCAUUUCUGCUGUGGUCACUAUAAAUGAGCAUCUCUUAUUGAGGCGACUACACGUGGUUUGCUGUGCACACCGAGCAGAGAACGCCUUUCUCCGAGUUGCUUUGAGCCUGCUUGUAAAUUCUUCCCUCUGCCACCCUGCAGCUAGGAAAUCUGGCUUUAAAAACAAGUUAUGACAGGGGAAAUUCAAAUGCUUUCUAAUGGAGACCUAGGCAACUGAGUGCUGGCAGAACUAGAAAGGCAACUCUCGCAUCUGUUUGCCUUGUCUGUAGGUAGGAUGGUGUCACUUCCUCCCCCAGGAUCUGCCCUGGUCCCACUGUCUCAAGGCUGUGGUUCACCUCUCCCAAACACCUGACUCCACUGCCCUGCAAAUUGCCCUUGGCAUCCUCCUACAUCUCACUUUGGCUCCGCUCUUUGCAGUCAACCAAGCUCACAGACCGCUUUGUGCCUUCACCUGCCUAAGUUCUGUCCCUUUCUGCAUUCUUCCUGCACUUUGGUGCAGAAAUCAUCCCUUCACAGACACCCAGAGAACGGACAGAGGGCACAGGGUGGGUGCUGCUGAACACCAGCACACAGCUAUGAGGGUCUGCAGCUGCCUUUAAGGGAACUGCUCUGCACAGUGCAUCCUCUGAGCGUCCCCUUUGUGUGCCACCAACAGAGCCAUCAUAGCAAGGCUCAGAACAAGCAGCAGCACUAGCCAAGCCUGCGUUGUUCCUUCAGCACCUGAUUCCUUCUUACCACAGCCCACCUCUGCCAUCACAUCCCCAUGGCACAGUGCCUAAGUGAUGUGGUUCAGCUGUGAACCAGUUCCCAGGGCCAGAAAAGAAUCUCCCACACAGCAGUGCUUCAGCAGAGCCCGGGCAGGUAUAUUGGGAUCCUGGACCACAGCAGUGAUACAGAUAGGCAGUGAUUUAUUCAGUGCAGGAGAGGUCACGUGGCUCCUGCUGAUGGAGGCAUAAGUGCAAUUAAGCUCAGAUGUUACUCUGAAAUGUUUAUAAACUAGGCAGUGAAGAUGCCUUAGCAUGAAGUGUCCUUAUGAGACACUGGUUCAGUCAGGCUGGCUUGCAGAGACAUUUGCAAAGUUGACUUUAAGCGGUAUGAUGGCUAAUGGUAGAGCACGGGCACUGCUGGCUGGAGCUCAUCUAGCCAAAGAUCUGUGCCUCUCCACCUCCCAGCCCUGUGCAACACCCUGCUGCCCCUCCCCUUCCACCAGCACCACCCACAACAAAGACAAAGACUAUGUUUGUAGAACUGGUUUCAAAUGGUUGCACGAGUUCUGGCAGCGGGGCUGAAGGCAGAGCAGCUCCUGCCCUGUGGGAGUGCCUGCAGGAUGCAUGCACACAACAACAGGCCAAGGUAACCCUACAGGAGGCAGAAGUGCUGUGCUACAGGUUGCAGCCAGACUCUGACAGCAAAAUAGAGAGGUGGGGGAUGCUGUUCUGGCUCCUGGCCCCGCUGACAGCCCUCUCCCAGAACCCCCUCAGCAGUGAACUCUGGGGCUCCUGACAGCUCUCUUCUUUCCUAAAUACCACCCCCUGCACACAGAAACUUUCCCUCUGGGAGGCAGUGGGUUAAUUGGCCUGAUAAUCAGCCUGUUUCACUAAUCAGUCCCUGUAGAGGGGUUCUGUUUAUUUUAUCAGGCUUAUAAAUCCAGCGUUCCUGGUGAUUUAUUUAAGAGGCUGAUUUCUGAUUUUGCUCUCUGGCGUUUAUUUUAAGCAAUUAUUAUUAUUUUUUUUUCUUCAUAGCAAACACAGAAUCUGCUAAGAUAUUUCCCCUAGGAAUUGUAUUGAUUCGGCAGGUCUAUUCCCAACGUGAGUCCUUCUCUCAGACAAUUCCCUGUACUUGUGGAGCCACCUUAGAGAUGCUCCGAGCCCUUACCAAAGCACACAACUCACUAGUUGGCAUCCUGAGCAUGGGGCACGUGGACUUCAGCCUAAGGAACACCCUGAGAUGUCAGUAUGUUGAAAACAACAUGGCUUAAAAGAACCAUAGAAUCAUUAGGCUGGAAAGAUAACUAAGACCACCCAGCCCAACCAUCCCUCGUGCCUGUGACGUGCCCUCCUUUGGAGGAACACGUUGCCUUUGAGUGGCACUGAACACUGUGGGAGCCCAAACCACAAGUGAAUUACAGAGCAGCCAGCUGUCCUGGUUUGGAUCACACGCCUUCAGGUAGAGAAAUGAGGCAGUGGUGAAAAAGUGUUGUUAAAGUGUUAUUGUUCCUCACUUACCUGUCCAGCAGGGAGUCGAAGCCAAUGACCGCGUUGUCUCGCUCUGCUGCUACCACCAGGCACAAACCGUCCAUUAAGAGGGAACACUGAGAGAGGGAAGAGCACAGCCUUGGUUUGCUAUCCGCUUAGAUAAGGCUGUAAGCCUCACUGAUGAGCUGCUGACAGCAGAGAUAACUGCUGUGUGAGGGGAGGAAGGAGAGCAGCAGACUCUCACACUGAAGGAGUAUCACGUCUGAACUGUUGGUUCACCCGUUCCUAUGGCAUGCUGUUAGUCCUGCUCUCUCCUCUCAGAGCGAAAAUAAGCUGGGUCUUGGGUGUGUUUUCCAGUCACUAAUUCUGCUGGAAGCAGGAACAUGGACAUCACUGCGAAUGCCUGAGACGUCGCAGCAGAAACACUUAUCACUUGAAGGAGCCCAUCGUCCUCCUGGCAAGGCAAGGCUGUAAACGUUUGCCUUUGGCUCAGCAGUGCCAGACCCCUGUGGAUGCAUGCCAGCUCUGCCCACGGCCAUUCAUCUCUGACAGGAGGACGUGUUUGCAUGGCCAGGGGAGCAGGGCCACGCUGCCCUCUCCUUCCCACACACCCACUGGCUUUGUCCUUCCUAGAGAGAUGUGCACAUCCUGGUGCGCAGAGGGACGGCGUCCUCGGGGGAACUGCAGGGCAGUGCUCAGACUAAUUGGAUGCUGGAUGUAAUUGCUAUUCUGUACAGAUGUACUUCGAAGGGAUGCUGUCAGUUUAAAAAAAUCACAACCUGAAAAGAUCUCACCUGCUUUAUUAUAGGUUGCACCUAAGACGCUCAUAAGUACCAAUGGGCUGGAAACAGAAAUGUUCUUAUUUUUUCAUGGGAACUGCUGCAUGCCUCUGACAGCCCUUUGUUGAUUGCUACUGCCAGUAUAAGUAGCUCCCCCCCCAUUGAUUGCUCUCUGCUCCUGACAGUGUUUUCCUGCACGUUCCCCCUUACUGCUUUGCUCUAGCAAGGUUCCUGGAAUGGUGUGUUUAUCCUAUACCAAGUACAAAGAGAAAAACAGCUCUGGUGUGAUGCUGCACUGCUGUAAAGCAAGGUCCUGGCUCACCCCAGAAGCAGAUCUCGUGCUUACACCCCGUGAGCGCUUGCUUAAACCCCAUGCUGGACUGCAGUGCAAGUUGUCACCACCAGCAGAAUGAGAGAUGGAAUUAAAUCUCUGCCCAGAACUCCAGGGCACCGUCCAAAAAGUGGAAGGGUUAUUUAGCAUCGUAGAGGAGGAUUAAUGGAGUGUGAUUACAGAAAAGGAAAUAGAAACUGUAUUUAUCUGGAAGAACAAGACAAGAUACAACAGCAGAACAUACAUAACAGCAGCAACUGUGCACUGUGAGGUGAAUGGAAGAAAAUGUCUGAAGGGGAUGUACCAUCCACAAUAAGGUUAUGUUUGCACAUCAUGAUGUCAAGUUUAGGUGUCUGUGAGUUAAUGGAGAUACAGGAACACAAAGCAGGGAGAAGCUGGCAAGGCACACUGCCCAAAUUACUUACUAGUGCAUAAGAGAUCAGAUAGCAGUGCGGUGCUAACACUGCUACCAAAGCUGGUCUGCUCAGAGCUAGCACAGCACUGCAUCAAAUGACUCUUCUUCCCUGGGGAAAGAAGCAAAGUGCAAAUCCAGACUUCGUACCUUUGCUGCCACACCACAUUUGGCCCUGCUCAGUAUCUCGGAGAUGCAAUGAGCUUGUGGUGCAUCCAGCACAGUGAGGCGUACUCCAGUCACCGUGAAACCUUGGCCAAUAAGCUGAUCAAGCAGUUCAACAUAAGGUGGGUCCGAACCCCUGAGGAUUAUCGCCGGCAGGAUGAGGCAAGUGGUUUGGCUGAGGUUACUGAGCACUGGCCGAUCUGAUGGGAAAAGAUCAAAACACAACAGAUGCUUUAUAUCAACCCCCUCUGACUGCUAACCCCCUGAAUAGUUCCUCCCUGCCACAAACACGUAACCAGAAGAUCAGAGGCACUCUGGCAUUAUUAUAUCAUUUGGGAUGUUUGGAGAUGUGACUGCUCAUCCCAAACUGUCAGGCUGCUGUGUGCCUGUGUGUGUGUAUCUGGAGAUCACAAGGCAGCAGUAGUGACCCCAUUCUGGGAGUCAGGCAAGGACAGCUGCUGGUUUGCUACAGGAGGUGCUAUUCCACUUACUUUCUCCCAAGCGAAGAAAUCUGUUAAUCCAGCUGCUUUCAUAAUCCACAAUGUAAUUCUCAGCAACAUACAUAAGAUUUAAUGUAGUUCAUAUUUUCCCCACGAUAAAUCUGUCUGUCCGUUAGGCUUUGUGAUCAUAAUUUGCCAAAAGGAGACGUUUCCUUGUGUGCAAGAGCUACCUCUAGCGUCCAAGAAGAGGCCACCAAGUGAAUGAUGUGUCUGGCUUGCUGGCAGCACUCACUGUAUUGUGCCUGACAGCCCAGGGAUCACGUGUGCUUGCUUUUCCAGGACAGUAGCUCUUUGAAAAACAUUUUCUGAGACACAAACACAUCAGGGCUGUACACUGGUUUCCUUUUCACUCUGCUCAGAAAUCUUCAAAGCAAAGGAUUUCUCACGAAGCAGGAAAUUGAGGGCACAUACUUUUGAGAUUUGCUUCCCAGAUUGAGCCAUACAGAACCUGCAGAAGGCUUGUGCUAUCUCCACAACGAGCUCUCCAGUGUUAUUAUUACUCUUGUUCUGGGGCUCAUAUAGUGGCUGGGGAAUGGCAGUAAUGUUGAGAGACAGACCUCAGCACAGCCAACAGUUUAAUCUUAAACCUUCAUACAGCCAACCUCUGAUGUAUUAGUGUGCAGAAUAAGAAAAAGAGUUUGCCUGAGAAGAUAUGGCCUUACUCGUGUGACUUUAGUCAGGAUCAUGAAGCAUGCGUAGGGCACAGUCCAAAGCUGAUAGAAGACAACGGAAAGAUCCCACUGAUAAUGGCCUUGGGAAAAUUCCUCCUUCAGAGGACCCAAUUCCAAAUGUUUUUGCUCCCAGUAAAUAUCACAGGGAUACUUUACUUGGUCACCACUUGGGUACAAAGGUUUGGGAAGAGCCCACAGGACCCCAACAUGGAAGCAUCUAUGUAAGAGUUACAUCUCCUGGCAUAAAAGGCGGAGCAUCAGAGCCUGCAUCGUAUUCACGCCUAUCAAGUACAAUCAGCAGAAAAGAGCCAGAGAAACUACAAACAUCUGAGGGAACUGACAGGCCUGCUGCUUAAGUUCUGACUUGGAAACAAACUCAGACCAGCACCCACUGGAAGUUAUUUUUAGCUGUCAGACAUUCAGCAGCCAGUGGGAACCGAAUGAGAUCUCAGUCCAGUUCCCGAGAGAUGGAUGUCCACACAGCCAAAACCACUCCCUGCACAAAUUGCUGCUUAUCCACACCCAGAACAAAAGGUCUCUCUAUUGCCCAUCACUGUGGUGCCUUGGUCUCUCCUGAGGCUGGCUUAGAAUGGACAUGCAAACCACUGUGGCCAAGCUGGUGCUGAAACACACUGUAAAAUUUCAGCAACAUUCACUGUUGCUUAUGUUAUCUGUGCUGACAGUGCUGCUGCUUCUGCUGCUGAGAAGGUCAGCACUUCUCAUCAGCCCUAUGUUUAAACCCAUGAAAGAAGUGGUAGAAGAAAGGCCCAGCAGGCAAAGAGUUAACUGGCUGGACUCCACUGGAGCUGUUCUUUGUAGCUCAGAGUUGUCCCUCCCUUCUGAAAGGACAUCAAUACCAAAUCUUGCUGCCACCAGAUGGUCUGUCCUGCCGUCCAAUUAAUCAAUAACAGCCUCAAUCUAUAACAAGAGUUAUGCAUUUCCUUACCAAGAUCGCGUGGUUGCCCAGAGCCCGGCAAAUCAAGUUGCCCUCCUGUUUCAUGUUUUAUGAUUUUGCACUGCUUGUUGAUUUCCACACUAACUAUGGGGUCACAUUUCAGGUUAUAGAUCUGCAGGAAGGAAGGGAAGGGGAGGGAGAGAGAGGCAAGUCAUGUGAGCACUGUUACCUAAUCAGGAAGGAUAGCACUUAUCAACUAUUGAUUCAGGCAAGCUGUGAAGGUUUUGAUGGUGUUGUGUGCUCCUGUAAUUACCAGCCUAGAAAACACCUGGUUGUCUGGAGAUAAAAGAACAUUUUGCAUGCAUUCUUUCUUAUUGGGGCUUAACUAAGCAUGGCAUCUUGCUAUCCUUUAAGGCUCCUGCAUCCAGACAUCUUUCUAAGGUCUCCGUUUCUGGCUCUUCAAGGCCAGAAACUCAAGGACCCCAAGUGUACAUCAUUUACCCAGUGCCUAAGUAGAUGUAGCAGCUCCCUUCUGUCGUGGAACAAAUUGUCACAUCCAUGCAACCCAGCACAGUGCAGCCCUGAUAUUCUGGACUGGGUCACAGAGGAAGGACAUCCACAUCAUGGAGCACUUCAAAGGUGGGGUCAGCUACUCAAUCCCAUCUCUUUGUUGGGCAUAACUCAGCACUUCAAACUCUUUGGUUUUGAGAAGCAGCCGAUCAGAGUGGUCAACUAAUGAUUAGCUAGUACAAAACCAGCUGAAAAGGAAAGACUUACCGUUUCAUUUUAGCCACUGGCAAAUUAGAGUACUUCAAAUCAGAGACCAUUGCCCACACAGUGUGAAGGGCCAGAUGAGCAGAGCUGGCUGUACAAGUGCUGGUGGGCUUCUCGGCACUACCAACAAUAUAGGAGGCAAGAAUCUGAGACUUUAUGCCUUCAGCUGUAAGCAGGGGAAGAUGUGGGCAUCCAGCAGCAAACUGUGCCUGUGACUUAUAGCAAGGAGUGUCCUAUUUGAGACAGCUCUGUCUUUACAGUGCUGUGAAUUGGUACUUCUGUUGGCAGGGUAUGUGGGCCAGCACCCUUCUCACCCCAUGGGGCAGUGCUCCAUGCCAGGACCACGUGCACAUGUGCACUCACCGGGAUACAUUCAGCAGCCAGUGAGUUAUUUUAUUAGCUGUCUCACUUCAUCUCAGUUGCUGAACAGUACAUGUGAAAAGCUGGUAACAAUCAGCCUCUGGGUCAGCUAUGUCUAAGCAAUCAUGGGUGAUGUUGCUAUUGUUCCCCAUGACCUGCUUCCAAAGCAAUGUUGGCUCAGUGUAGGAACUUCGCUUCUAAAGCAACAGCCCUGAGCCUUCCUGAAUUUAUAGCACAGGUCACUGAACAAACGCAUCUGAAAAAGCACUUUUCCUCUGAGACUGUCGGGGUCAAUACAAAGUUAGCACAUUGUGGCAGGGACAUCCAGAGGAGAAGGAAAUCUCAGCAGCCGGUGAAACACAGCAAGAAAGCAUUAUCUAAAGUGUAAGAGGAAGGAAAACAAGGGCUAGCAGGACCAAAGCCAUUGCUCUGACACAGCAGGAGACCCUUCAGGAAAGGGCAGAAUCCUACCUCUUCUUCCUCCAGUGUCUGGCACUCGGCGCAGCACAGACCUUCUGGGAAAAACAGCUUCAUAUCCCGGACAGAUAUUUGGUAGGAUUCGGAGCCUGAGAGAUAAAUACAAUGAGAAGAUUCUUUCAGGACAUGAAUUAAACAUUCUCUGGACUCACACUCAUCUUCCUGAGAGAUUGAUGAUGUGCAACUUACUGAAGUAAUUGCUUUAAAGGCCAGCUGUUCUGUAUAGUAAUAGCAAACAUUUAAAACCAUUAUAUUUAGAAUAGUUUCAUUGCAUUUUUGGUAUUUUGAUUCUGCUCCGUUAUCACUCAGCUCAUCCUCCAUGUAAACAAGACUCCCUCUAUUUCCUAACAGUGGAGUCAAGGGAAUCACAUUAAGGAGCCUGUGAAUACCAGCUCCAGCCCCCUGUUCUUCCCAUGCUUUUGGAUCAUGUCAGGCUAGUCCUGUGGAACAGAGCUACUAGUUACUAAAACCAGCUGUACUUCAUAACAAUGAUGUCAGGCCCUAACAUGUUAGCGACUGCUGUACAACAGAGCAAAAGAAACAAGGUUAGCAUGAGACAUUACUGACAGCAGCGUAUUGCACCGUUCACCUGUAGUCCUGCAAAGUAGAUUGAGACUGGAAGAGGUACGAAGAAUGAAUGUGAAGGUCAGAGAAGGAGUGGGGAAUCAUCUGAAGAGUCAAAACUAAAGACCUCAGCUUGUUUAACCCAAUGUAACACAAAGCUAAGAAGGAAUACAUCGAGGUGAAGAGGUCAGGGAAGGAAAAGCUACUCGAUGUACAUGCAAUGGCACAAGAGCAAAUGGAUACAAACCGUGUAUGACUGCAUUUUAAAUUGAAAAUGUAUGAAGAUUUCCAGCUGGGAAGUUCCUUAACAGAUACCCAAAUUUGGGUGAAUGCUUAUGAGAGGCAAUAGAUGAAGUGAACUCAGUGACUUAGAGGUCCCUCCAGCUUAGCAGCUGAGUAUUUCCCCAUCAAGUAACAGCGUUAGAAACCACUACUCAGAAGGUUUUGAGAUUUGUGAGUGGAAAACCUUUGAGGAGAAGCUAUUUCUAAAUAACUGGAGUUCAGAUAGGCUGUCAGCGUGCUGGCACGGAUCCACGCUCCUGGGAUACAAAUACACAAAAGGCAAAUAUAUUCUGAAAUAUUAUCACUUUUGCAGACUACACAUUUAAAAAAAAAUUGUGCCUUGCUGCUCCUAGAGCACUCAGCCCUGUGUGGGCAUCCAUAAUUCUAAGUAUCACAUAGCCAGAGCGCUUAACACAGUAGUUUACAGCCCUGAGAUUGUAUGUGUCACUGGUAUAUAAGUCAUGCUGUGUUCUUUAUGUACCUCUGUGUCAAAUCUUCCCCGUUUAAAUCAUUGGUGUCAUUACAAAAGGGACACAAAUGUUCCCAAUGCUAUUCUUAGCAGCAUUUUACUCUUACUUUUCUCAAGGUGUAAUACUGUAUAAGAUGCUCUCUGGGCUCAAGAAAAAGCACUGCACAGUGAUUUCAUAAUGCACCAAAGAGAUGGAAGGAAUGCAGGGUUACCCCUGCAGAUGAGUCUCAGAAUAUUAGAACUGCUUUACUUGGUUUGACUGUUAUCACCAAACCUGGCCUUCCUCCUACCAGAACUUCUCCAGUCACUUCCAGAGGAAGCACAGCUAGAGUUUGCUGCUCUUCAUUCAGCACGAUGGCACUGGCUAGAGACCUCCCUCAGCUGGAGCAAAAGCAAAGAAACAUGGCACUCCCUGCUAGGAAAGAAGCUCCUCCACUGUCCCCCAGAUGACCACUUCUGCACUGAUGACAAUUCCUGCUUAACUUGGGCACAAAUGCUUCUCCCUUUUUGGAGGACAAACUCUAGGACAUGCGAGGCAUUAAGGGUCCUUAAGGACAGACUCCUCCUUGGCAUAGCAGCUGGAUCAGAUUCUUGAGUUUGAGUUACUGUGUACAUAAGCUACAGCUGCAACCAUUUUCCUUGAAUGUGUGCAAUUAAGGCUUUGUGAGCCAUCCGCAUAGCUGGGAUACUAAUGCACAAUCUGGUCUCAGCAGGCAGGUGGUAGCCAGCCAGCUCAGCUCUGUGCCUGGCCCAGUCUUGGAAGGAAGCAGGGAUCUGAAGGGAAUCUCUAAGAAAACAUCUGAGGCCUUCCUUAACACACAGCUCUCUGUAACCCCUGAGUGAAAGACAGGCUGAGAUUCAGCCUCCUUUGCUGAUAUAAACUAAUCUUUAAAAGAAUUAUGCUAGGGAAGCUCCAGGUGUUGCGUGGGUAUAUUAAGUUGGGGUAUAUAUUACCCAUAACUGAUGAGUUCUCAUUCUCAAGGCAACCCAGGAAGACAAUCCAUUAAUCUUAAGAGCAAAAGAUACAGGGGUAUAGUGGAAAAGUACUGGCUGAGAAGCCUUGAGCAUCUCUUGUGUAGGUAGACCCUGCCCUUCUGUCACUCCCACAAAUGAGAACCUAUGAGUAAUUGUGGUGGGAGAUCUCUCUCGGUUUAGUCUUGGUCCUAAGGAUUAUGAUUGUAUCUGACAAAAAGUAAUCCUACAUCAAGGAUGUAGGAUUUUGCUCUCCCCAAAACUGUAGUGGACACUUCACUAUGAGUUCUCUUCAGAAGACCACAAUAUGGACAAAAAGAGUACAGUACAGAAUGCAAUAGAAAACACCAAUUAAUUCAAUGGGUCUUGACGGGAAAGUUCUUUUGGAAACUGAAAGCAUACAGUCCCUGCUAGCUCAACUGUUUUUAUAGAUAUUAUUGAUUGCAUUAUUUUUAUACUCCUUUAACUACAUACAGCACAAUCAGCACAAUAUUGAGAAAAACAAACUACUAAUGGGCUGUCAAUUGAUCAUGCUUAAUUCCUUAUGAAUUUUUGAAUGACAUCCUUCCCUCCUCCUCAUCGAAACAGCCCAGAUCCCCUCAUAUGAUACCCUUGGUUCUCCACAGUCCACUCUCUUCAGCAGUCCUUCUCAUUCUCCCAUCCUUCACCUGUACUCUCAGCUGUCUCCCAUCCCAAUCACUGCAACAUCCUAGUUCCCUCCACCCGCUGCUGGUGGAUGAACUGUGGCUGGUUCAGCAUUGAGGAUGCUGACUAGCUGGCACGCCUCUGCUGACAUGCCAGCUGGCAAGAGCCUCUCAGAAUGGAAAACAGCUGAGUUUACCUGCUUUCCUCAGUGGGAGUAAUUUUUGAUCACCUCUGUCUACCCAGCCAUUAAUGUUUUGAGACGUUACAGGAACUUGGUAUCCUGGAGUCUUUUAUCCCUCUGUGAAAGUUGGCUAGCGGGUUAUAUAGUUAUCAGGAGGAGAGUCAGAAGCACAGAGACAGAUGGGUUAUUGGGGAUAAGUACAAAAUAACCAAGCUAAAAUCACAAAAUGACCAAGCAGGGAAGAGAUUAAAAGAGAUCUGUUCUGAGGGAAGACAGAUCUGGGGCUGUUCUGAGAAGAUGACUUUUUGAUAUAUCUUCUGGGAGAAUAUUUCAUAGCGUGAGAUGUACUCAGGUCAGCCACCAAAAAAACAAUCAAAACUUUCUCGGGAAUGAUGGCCACUGCUGCCUGCCAAGGCUGGAUCUGCGCUGACAGCCCAGGGGGGUAACAGCACGUUAUGCUUUUACCAUUAGCAUAUCUGAGCCUUCAGACUUUUCUUUUACAAAAACCUACCAUAAAAUCCAUUUUGGACAGCGUCGAUGCCAUACUGGGCCCUCCAGAGGCAUGGAUUUAGUGCUUGGGCUACUUUAGGGUCCUCUGGUCCCAGCAUGUCCAUCAGCUUCUUCACAGCAUUUGGUCUCUGAAGACACAGCACAAGAGAAGUGCCUGAGGUAAGGUAGGUACGGUGAGCUUGUAGGACAGCAGGAUCCUGAAAAGAAAUAGCGGAGAGUGAACAGAUUACAAUAAAUGCUGUAGAUGAGUGCUGGAUCCCAACCCUCCAUUGGCUCGAACCACCUUAGAAGCAAACAGAGCUGACAUUAUUCCUUGCUUUCUCUUCCCUUUGCAACACACAUGCUAGUGGCCACUGCACACAUAGCUUCCAGAGCACAUGCAGUGGUCACCAAGCUCGUGUACCUGCUGUGCCAUUCACCAGGUAAUGGGAGGCCCAGUUCCCACCCUGAGCACGCAUGGAACGAAGGAAAGUUCAGCACUGAGCUUGUUCUGGAGCCAUAGCAGCUUUCACAACUUCCACAGUAAUUUCCUAAGAUCCUUUAGUAAGAAAGGAAACAAAAUCCUGUUUGUAAGAGGAAGAGAAGCCUUGUGCUGUGACUGGUUCUGCCCAUCUGGAACACAGAUACCAGAGGUGGAGCUGCUGUUUGUCCUUACCCACUACAAAUGAAUUGUCACUCUGAAGUUAAGUGCCCACUGCUGAACCACUGAUCUGUGGAGAUGCCCUUUUCACAGCACCUUCAGUGUGACAUACGGAUAGGAAAGUGAUGGACAAUAGAAAUAUCAUCACUGUUGUGUAUGCUCUAGGAUAAGGAAACAUUUAGUUCUUCUGCUUAUGUAAGGAGACAAAUAGCAGAACUUUUCUUUUUCAGUUUCAUGAAAGGAAUGCCUCCCACUGUCCCAGUAUACACCGUGCUGUGAGUCCGGGUGGCAGAAUUUCAUACACUAGAUGGGAUCAGCACUGCUGAAAUAGUGAGCUUCAAACAAGGAUGUUCAGGACAGGACACUGAACUGGAGCUGAAGGAAAGCAGCUCAGCUCCUGGCUUUCCCACUGCUAUAACGUGUGCUCCAUGACAAAUUUCUCUACCAUUUUUUCUUUUACAAACACUGCCAGUUCACCCUGAGCAAAGAGAUUCCUCACAUAGCUGUGCAGGUCGCAGGAUCCUGAGGUCUUUAAUUCAGGAUGAGUGUUAAUAACCACUAGCACUCAUCGCACUGGUGACAAGGGAGUGAUUUGUUGGCUAGAGAUGGACGUAAUGAGUGAGAAGUCUUGAGGAAGACAGCAGGAGCCCAGGGCAGAAGGUGGCUAAGGAGCAAAGCAGUCCAAAGCCCUGCUAUUCUCAUUACUCAAAGCCUUGCAGAGCCAGGUUCUUUGCAGAUGUUUCCAUCGAGUGUGAGGUUCACAGCAGCUGUAGGUUCUUUCUGAGCCCUUCAUCCUGAGGAAGAGGCAGGAGCACCCAGGUCUGCCUCCCUGCCCUCUGAGUGACCAAGUGCAGCAAUGCCAGCACACAGAGCAGCUCCAUGCCGGCACUGUGCAUACGCACAACAGCACCUGCAGCUUGCUGGCUAAACCAAGCUAUGGUUAUUUACUUUUAUAUCCAUUUUUGAAGAAAUUAAAAGCUGGAGGAAAAACUCUUGCUUGAUUCAGCUGAAUCACAUCAUUCAGUCCCCCAAAGGUUUUCAUCCCUCUCUUUUUAAUCUUUUCAAAGCACCAGAGGAUGGCAAUUCUCAAGAUAAAACAUUUCUAAAAGAAAAUCCCAUCCUUUCAUUCAAAAAUAUGAAAAUAAAACACUUUGAGGCAUCUUUUGUUUUUCUAUCCUAUGAAGCCAUUCAAUGACUUUGACCCAAAUCUUCUCUCACUCACAUUCCCCCUAAACUGCCUUUUUAUAAGUAGGCUAUAAAGGAAAAAUCAUUGGCUCAGCCCCAGUCUUCUCCUCUGUAUUUGGAAAUGCAAAAUGAUCUGAGAUGCUCCGUUCUUAAGCUGGUUAGUGAGAUAAGGGGUCUGAUACAAUCUGUGAUCUUUGUGAGUGCUCCCAGCCCAUGGGAACACAAGGCAAAGGAGAGCAGGGACAGCUGCACUGGAGGAACACGGAGGGAAGAUUCAGAGCUGUGCUGUGAUUAGAGCUCAGACACUGACAUGUCACGGCAUACUGCAGAUGUGUGACAUUAAUUCAGUUCUCUGUAACACUAAGUAAAGCCCUUUAGGCUUGGAAAAUUUUGAUAGUUUAAAAUACAUGCACAUAAUCCACUUUUCUAAGACGUUAUCAGGACUUCUCGUUGGGAGAUGCAGAACACUGAUGACGUCUCAAUGCAAACUUCCCAAAGCUCUAGAUACAACAUUUCAACAUUCAUCUGACUCCAUGUCACACAUCUGCAAAAGAAAAUGUUCAAAGGUGGUUUCUGGUAAACAGAAUGCAACAAAUGAAAUUGUUUUGUUCCAGACCCCACGCAGAGCACUUUAAGUUUAUGUAACAAACUCUGUUGUCUUUAUAUCCUAUCUUUCAGCUUCUUCCUGGGAAAUGAGCAGGCUUUCGGUUAAUGAUGGUGUUGUUUCUCAUGGCUAGAAUGGUGUCAAUGAGCCAAGGUGACUUCUCUCCCUGUGCUACACUCCUAAGUCCAGGCAGGGCUCUGCCAGCUAAACCAUGCCUCUGCACCAGCCUCAAACCGUGUCCUUGCCAGCACCCAAGCAGCUGCAGCGAGAUGGCACAUGUGCAGCUGCCUGGAAUUCAGUGAGCAAUUUUGUUGAUGCAUGCAGAGAGGAAGUUCCAGCUGAGUGCUGGCUCUGAAGAACUAACAGGAUUAAAAAGCAGCAGAACUGUUCUUCUGCCUCCAGUGUCAGACUCGCAAAGCAGUGCUGGAGGGAAUCCAUCAUGUUACUGAGUCUGGGGACUUGCUAUGGGCAAUCAGAGCAGGUAAUCCAAAGGCAGCAGAUCAGUCCUGCUGUAGAAUCAGACUUUCUAGCUAGCAGCCACAGCUGUGAGUCUCUGCAGUUUGGGAUCUGCUGAAUAAGCGCAGAAAGGAAAACCUCCAUAGGCAGAACAGCCCCUGGAGCAGUUGCUUCUCGCAAUCUUAACACUAUUGGGUCACAGUAAAAGCUGAGAAGGCAAUGUCCGCUCUAUUUAGCUGACCUUUGUUUUUAUUAUUAUCAUCAUUAGCUUUCAGAUAAAAAACAUCGCUGCAUCUCCUGUGAUUGGAUAACCUCAGCAAGCAAAGCAUCAGCCCAUUAUUUAUUGUAGGCCAAAGGCCAGAAGCUGCUUAGAAGCUAAACGCUAGUAUUGCUUUUUCAAAAGCAAUGAUGUCUGACAGCACGUUGCUGAGGGUAUGGGUCAGUGUGCAGGUAAGUCAUACAUCUGAAAGAGGAAGGAGAUGCUGGGCAUUGCUCCCAGUGAAUAAAUCCCUAAUUUGAUGCCAUCUCCCUGCUUACCUUGGGAGCUCAGCCCUUUCCAGCCUGUGUGACUUUGGGUAUGUUCUAAAAAUGAGGAGCCCCCAUGCAGAAGAAAGCAUUUCCUACUGUCCAUUCCCCACUGCUAAAAGCAGCCUAUCGUCAGUACUUUCUCACUUUCAAGUCCUGCCUUCUUCCAUGAACAAAAACCCAACACUCUGUAAUUCCUAAACUUGGUCACCAGCUCUUCAAGGAAACUGAACCAAUGCACAACAGCCACUCCAGUGUGUUCAGGAGCUCUAAAAACAAGAGAAUUUUUUCCUGAAAUAACCUCUCUUCAGAUGUAUCCUAUGUAUAUCUACAUUUCCCCCUCGAGGGAGACACUUAGAUUUUGUGCAAUACCUUUUGUUUCAGAUGAUGGACUAAGCAUUUCUGUGUUUAGCUGUGCAAUUAAAAGCUUUAUAGGGGAAGUACCUCCUCGGCAGCUCUAAUGGCCACUGUCCCACCCUCAGCAGAGAUCUGUGAAUAACUGAAAGCCAGAUGCUUCUGCCCCGUUCCUUUGCUAUCAUGCAGAAUGUAAUAAUCUUUGCUGAUGGAUGGUUACGUAGGAGCAUUGUCUGAGGAUGUUCCCAGUCUUGGAAGACUCUAUUAACAAUUUCUACACUAUGUGCUUUAAACUCUCCCAACUUAACUCAAGAGCAAUAUCCAUUAUAAAGGCUUGCUGUCUAUAAAGUUAAUUGGUUGAGUGUCUUCAGGAAAGCAAUCAACUAACAAGGACAUUUUUCAAGAAAAGAAAUCUAACUCCUCUGCAAUGCUCAUCGCUUCCUGACUUCCACAAUAUCUUUAUUUUGAGAUGAUAAUAGAUGAGCAUGUUUCAGGUUGGGCAAAAAAUGAAUUCCUAACACUACAGAAGAGCAGACAAAUGUAUUUUUAGCUGACAACCCCCCUCAGCACCCUGAGGUUUAAAACCCUCAUCAUUGUCUAUCAGACAGCAGAAAUGACAGCAACCUCAUUUUCUCUAUUUGCAGGUCAUUCUUACAGGCUCUUGAACACACGCUUCUGGAACAGAGCCUCCACUGUAUAUGUGAUGCAGUACUAAAGUGUAACCUGGCUCUAGAGGUCAAGCUUUCGGAGGAUCCUUGCAAGAUGAUGGCUCCAGGCACCAGGUUUGAUCAGCAGCACCGUGCAGAGGAUCUGGGCUCCUGUAACAAAGCAUAGUGGUGAAAUCCAAAGCUGCCCUUAAAAACACAGAGAAAACAUAUAGCUCUGCGUACGAGCCAGGACAGGCGCCUAUAGAAGAGGGUUGUCUGAAAACUGGCAUGAAGUUCAUAGGAAAUUGAACUAAACAAGUUUGUCUGUGCAUAUAUAUAUACAUACAGUCUGGGCUUGUAGAUCUUUUUCCAGGAAGCCUGCUCUAUGAGUCCAAAAGUUCUACCUGGCAGGUCUGCAGCACGAGACUCCAUCCUUUAUACUGUGUGUGAAUGUUAUAAGCAGAAUAAAAUGUUCUUCACAUGAAAUUCACCAUCCCUGGACGUGUUUAAAAACCAUUUGGAUGUGCUGCUCGGGGCCAUGAUUUAGCAGAGGGCUGUUAGAGUUAGGGCAGCAUGGUUGGGUUGCAGUUGGACUUGAUGAUCUUUAAAGGUCUUUUCUAACCUGAGCAAUUCUAUGAUUCUAUAAUGAAAUCCUUCAGGCAGCUAUUUCAUUCUUAUUUCUCAUGGCUUUAUUUCUGAGAGUUCCACACCUCCCUAUUAGAGCUACAUUCCAGAGAGGCACUAACAAGUGUGAGAGAUCCCAGCUGAUGCUGCAACCCUUAUUAUAAGUGGGAUCACGUCUAUUAAAAUUGACAUUUCAGCAAAAAGUUUUGGCUUUUGAUGAAAUGUCCCCAGCAGAGCUGCUGGAGAAGCAAAACAAAAUGGACCACGAUAGUUUUACCGUCUAGUGGUACCAAACCUCUCCCAGGGCAGAAAACACCUCAUCUCACCUUUAAAUGAUAGCGUUAUCAAAUUAUUAGCCUCACUAAUCUGAAGUGCUGUAUUAAAUCUAAGCCCCUACGUUACUGGGGCUGUAGAUAAGGUUUUGUCUUGACAACACCCUCGAAGAUUUACUGGCAGCCACAGUGCUGGGAGCAGUCAGCCAGGACCCACUAACUGCCAGUUCCUACCCAUGUCAAUUAGAUGAAACAUGAGGUAAUAGUAUUGCAAGCUGCUAAAACUGAUGCACGAUGAUCUGUUUGUGUACAUAAAGCGCCAUGUUAUGUUUCCUUUACACCCCAUUACUAAUUAUGCAGAUGUUCGUGCAAUGAAGCAUCAACAGUGCUGCAUAAAAUUUGGUGCAUAUGGAUAUUUUCAGUUAGCAAGAGGCAUGUUGGCAAUUCAAUGACAGAGAAAUACGGGAUCAAAAAUAAAAAGCCAGGAUGCUGACCCCAUUUGGCACGAAAACUCAACCCUUAUCCUGCACAAAGCCCUCCUAGAGAAGAGCUGAUGGUUUUAUUUCCACGGAUUUCUUGAACGGAAAGAUGUAAAUGCCAUAGCAACGGCCUGCAAGUGCAGAAGUGAGGCACUCGGAUCCACUCAGCUGCUCGCAUACAAUAUCAACGACAGGCGCUCACAUCAAUGUGCAUCGCCCUCGUGCUGCUUUCCCCACCAUCUGCUGUGUUUCUGGGCAAGCUUCCUCAUUCCUGUGGUGUGUGAAUCACUGCAUGCUGCAUAGUUAUGUUACUUGAAACACCUCGGGAGGGGAUCUCCUUAUCCCCCUGUGCCACCUUGGUCUGCUCAGAGACAAGUGCCUAAACCAAGGUGGGACACACCUCCUUACCCAGAGUUGGUUUUCUCUCCCCAGUGACUGUAGGUGCCAGCGCUCACCAGCACACAACUACCUACCAAGGAACAGCCCCUGCUCACCAUGUGCUGCCAGGAAGGCCUGCUUGGCAGCCAUCAGACACAUCCACCUCCGGUUCCGGCUGUUCUGCGGCCUUCCUGGACUUGCCCAAUCUUCCUGGUGUUUGUUACAUACAGACAAUAUUUUUAGAUCUUUUCCUACGGCCAAUGAGUCCACAGCUCUCCCCCCAGUUAUUUACGUGAGUUUUGAUUUGAUGAUGUAACCGAGUCACAGUACUGUAUUUAUUUUAUAUACUAUUUAUAUAAAACACUUUAUAUGUGAGCGUGGCUUAAAAUAGUGUCAACUGAAGAGAAGCAAAUACCAGAUCUCCUGUCAUGUUUAGAACAGAGAAUGCAAAUCACUGUCAGCAUUCAAUCCCAAGGAAAACGUUGGUAAAAUCCUUCCACUUAUUUCUGGCUGGUACUUCUACGUGAGUUAGGUUCACAACAUCCAACCACGUUUCUCAAUUUGCUCCUUUCUCACCUGCAUGCAAGUAGGCAAACAGUGAUUCUGCACGACAUCUCUGGGUCUCUUCCACUAAGCAAGAAAAGCAGAUAGAUGUGGGUAAGUAUAUAGAUGUACAUUCUGGGAUAGUAAAUUGAGAACAGUGCCACUAUCUCUACAUAAUGCAGCUAGCACUGCUAUGACAUGCUCAUUUUAAGAUGCGAUACUGCGAAAUGCAUGGCUUGAUUUCAAACAUGGUGGGAACCCAUUUGUAUUGGGACGGCCUUGGGAGAUGUAGUGCUUACCACCUCAUCAGAGAACCCCAAUUGCAUGUACUGAAAAGGACUGCAAGUACUGAAUUACGUUGAAUCUCAGUUAUACUUUGUGUUCUUUCUUAGUCACCAUUUCAGGGAGUGCCUAAAAUGGUUAUAAGCCACCUUCCUGCUCCCAGUAUUUCACAAUUAAGUUGGAAGCUGCCAUGAAACCCAGGACUGCUUUGUUUUCCCUCCCCAGCUGUGCCCUUGGAAGCAAAGAAGGACUGUGUGUUCUGAAAUACACUUAAGCAGCACAGACCUACGAUUCAGUUCCCUCCCCACCAAUGCUGAUGAAACCUCAGUGAUAUUCCCUGGACAGGAAUGGUCAACAUUCAGGGGUUCCUCAUGAGAGCAAAGCAGCAUAAAAGGAGUCAGGUAUAAGUAAAACCCAUAUAAAAAUGUUUCCUUCAGUCUAAUGAUAAACCUGCAAGUGGCCCAAAGAGGUGAGGGAAAUUUAAGGUACAUGUGAAUUGAGAAUCCCAGACUUCCUUUCCCAUUGAUCCUUACUGGCAAAUUUAACCAGUGAGAUAUGCAAGGUAGAUAGUAGAAAAACAAAAUUUGUUUGCCAAACAAAGCAAUCCCCAUUCUUUUGUAUUUAUUACUGCCUGGAAUCUAUGCAUUUCUGUUUCCCAGAGCAACUUAUCUGGAAGGUAUCUAGCCAGUGUUUUCUUUUAAUGAGACUUUUUUUUCCUUUCCAAAUGUGUGUUCUAUUUUGCUGGAAACAUUUAGUGUCAGUAUAAAACGUGAAAGCAGCUCUGAGGUCCUCGCCUUGUAAAUUUUAGCUCACAUCUUCCCAGUAUCACUUAUUCUCUUCAGCAGUAGAGUGAUCUGGAAGAACCAGCAUCGGUGAAGUGCCUGGUGGUUUGGUGGCACUUUAACACAGAGAGCAGAGCUUCUGACUGAGGCUUAGGAAAUGUGUGUUCUGCUCUGAUCUCUCUCACUCAGUCAAUGGGGAAUGAAGACCAAAACCCUUCUAGGCUCCCACUACCCUUUCUGUAAAGCAAUGAAAUGCCUGUUGAGACCGACAACUGAAAAGUGCUACUAAAGAGCUGAGAUUUUCUCUUCUACAUUCCACACCAGCCACAAGUAGGUGGCCAAGGCUCUCAAAGAACUGCAGAAUAAAGGUGAUUCUGGCAACAGUACUACCACCCCCCAAUACCAAGUGGGGUUAUCCAACCUUUACUUCCUAACUGCCCAGGAUAAUGAUGUCUAACCAAAGAUUUACCAUUCAAAAUGGAAUGGACAUAGAGUUAUACUGUUUCUUCCAUCUAUUUUAAGAAUAUAAAAUAGGGUUGUUUUUUUAUUAUUCAAGAGGCAACUGGUGCAUACUUCUGAGCUUACCUCCAGCCCUGGAUGUCUUGCCAGGUGGUGGCAGGUAUUUGGCAGUAGGGCGGUGUUCUGGAUCUGUAAAAGGAAGAUGUGAUUUUGUGGAUUCACAGAUGAAGAACCUUUACCAUUUGGGAGGUGGGGACUAAGGAAAGCAGUCUUGUUUAGCAUGGGAAAUGGCAGACCUUUCAGUAGCUACAAAAUGCUGAAGACCUGUUCUCUAGCACAAAGACCCUUCCAUUCCUCCCACAACAACAUAACCGGGAGGAAAAAUGUAGUGAUCUUAUAGAAGUGAUAGUGCAGAGUGCUAAAGUCAUAGCUAGAAGACAUAGCUGUGCCAUGGUGGGAAAGGUGAUGUUGUGAUUGUUAUUUCCCCUCAAUAAACUGACCUCACAGUUCUGAA
Gallus gallus (chicken) is the source of this 24696-nucleotide long non-coding RNA. RefSeq lists it as uncharacterized. Lineage: Eukaryota; Metazoa; Chordata; Aves; Galliformes; Phasianidae. The transcript has 3 exons. The record is from RefSeq and is a predicted model, not a curated record.